CGGCGAUGUCUCCUAUCCGUUAUAAAAGGGGGUACUCGAUCAUGCUGUGGGAUGCAGGAAAUGCAGGCCUUAGACGCGCUUUGUCGUCGAUAGCAUGGUGUGAGGGCGGGUUAGAUGCCCA
Molecule: regulatory RNA element, 121 nt
Rfam family: epsC RNA
Source: Rfam